UACAGAGAGUGCGAGCGUUAAUCGGAAUUACUGGGCGUAAAGCGCACGUAGGUGGGUAUUUAAGUCGAAUGUGAAAGCCCUGGGCUUAACCUGGGAAUUGCAUCCGAUACUGGAUACCUAGAGUAUGGUAGAGGGAAGUGGAAUUUCCGGUGUAGCGGUGAAAUGCGUAGAUAUCGGAAGGAACACCAGUGGCGAAAGCGGCUUCCUGGACCAAUACUGACACUCAGGUGCGAAAGCGUGGGGAGCAAACAGG
This 253-nucleotide ribosomal RNA is filed under the name uncultured bacterium. RNAcentral's name for it is "partial 16S ribosomal RNA". It matches the Rfam family "Bacterial small subunit ribosomal RNA", at positions 524 to 776 of the family's 1533-position model. The record is from RNAcentral.